This 581-nucleotide ribosomal RNA is filed under the name uncultured bacterium. RNAcentral describes it as "partial 16S ribosomal RNA". It matches the Rfam family "Bacterial small subunit ribosomal RNA", at positions 355 to 932 of the family's 1533-position model. The record is from RNAcentral.
UGGGGAAUUUUGGACAAUGGGCGAAAGCCUGAUCCAGCAAUGCCGCGUGUGUGAAGAAGGCCUUCGGGUUGUAAAGCACUUUUGUCCGGAAAGAAAUCCUUGGCUCUAAUACAGUCGGGGGAUGACGGUACCGGAAGAAUAAGCACCGGCUAACUACGUGCCAGCAGCCGCGGUAAUACGUAGGGUGCAAGCGUUAAUCGGAAUUACUGGGCGUAAAGCGUGCGCAGGCGGUUUGCUAAGACCGAUGUGAAAUCCCCGGGCUCAACCUGGGAACUGCAUUGGUGACUGGCAGGCUAGAGUAUGGCAGAGGGGGGUAGAAUUCCACGUGUAGCAGUGAAAUGCGUAGAGAUGUGGAGGAAUACCGAUGGCGAAGGCAGCCCCCUGGGCCAAUACUGACGCUCAUGCACGAAAAGCGUGGGGAGCAAACAGGAUUAGAUACCCUGGUAGUCCACGCCCUAAACGAUGUCAACUAGUUGUUGGGGGAUUCAUUUCCUUAGUAACGUAGCUAACGCGUGAAGUUGACCGCCUGGGGAGUACGGUCGCAAGAUUAAAACUUAAAUGAAUUGACGGGGUCAUAGCUG